CAUGAACCUGCGUUAACCAAUCUUUCCAUAUGAACAUUUUACUCCGCAUAGUGAUUCAAUAAAUCAGUGUUACAACCUAUGGAAACCAAAGUUUCAUUCCCCAGGUGACCGGAAACAUGGCUCUUAACAAGAUUGGUGCAGGUGUGCUGAAAUGGUGGAAAUGUGUCAAACCUGCUGUGUCCUCCAGUUGAAAUGGGCCGAUCAGAGAACAAACAGCAGUGCAGGCAAAGCUGGAUUUCUACUCAUCAUCCUGAGUUUGUGAAGGACACACAAUGCACCGUAGUGGACAUGAGGGGGAAAGGAGGUGGCCUGAUGCGCGCCCCCGUAUGUCGCACUGGAAUAGGCUGAAGAAGGAGGAAUGACCGCUUGUGCCAACCGCUGAGUCAAGAGCAACAGAUAGGAUGAAUAAAAACAGGAAGUCUCGCGAUUUGACCUUCAAAAUAAAACGUCAGGUUAAAGAAAGUCCUUGAACUAAU
Molecule: long non-coding RNA, 476 nt
Organism: Eleginops maclovinus (Patagonian blennie)
Lineage: Eukaryota; Metazoa; Chordata; Actinopteri; Perciformes; Eleginopidae
Exons: 3
Source: RefSeq, a predicted model, not a curated record